AACGAACGCUGGCGGCAUGCCUAACACAUGCAAGUCGAACGAACCCUUCGGGGUUAGUGGCGCACGGGUGCGUAACGCGUGGGAAUCUGCCCAAAGGUUCGGAAUAACACAGAGAAAUUUGUGCUAAUACCGGAUAAUGUCUUCGGACCAAAGAUUUAUUGCCUUUGGAUGAGCCCGCGUUGGAUUAGCUUGUUGGUGAGGUAACGGCUCACCAAGGCGACGAUCUAUAGCUGGUCUGAGAGGAUGAUCAGCCACACUGGGACUGAGACACGGCCCAGACUCCUACGGGAGGCAGCAGUGGGGAAUAUUGGACAAUGGGCGAAAGCCUGAUCCAGCAAUGCCGCGUGAGUGAUGAAGGCCUUAGGGUUGUAAAGCUCUUUUACCAGGGAUGAUAAUGACAGUACCUGGAGAAUAAGCUCCGGCUAACUCCGUGCCAGCAGCCGCGGUAAUGUCGUACG
This 458-nucleotide ribosomal RNA is filed under the name uncultured bacterium. RNAcentral's name for it is "bacterial SSU rRNA". It matches the Rfam family "Bacterial small subunit ribosomal RNA", at positions 29 to 531 of the family's 1533-position model. The record is from RNAcentral.